GAUGAACGCUGGCGGCGUGCCUAAUACAUGCAAGUCGAGCGAACAGACGAGGAGCUUGCUCCUUUGACGUUAGCGGCGGACGGGUGAGUAACACGUAGGUAACCUACCUAUAAGACUGGGAUAACUUCGGGAAACCGGAGCUAAUACCGGAUAAUAUUUCGAACCGCAUGGUUCGAUAGUGAAAGAUGGCUUUGCUAUCACUUAUAGAUGGACCUGCGCCGUAUUAGCUAGUUGGUAAGGUAACGGCUUACCAAGGCAACGAUACGUAGCCGACCUGAGAGGGUGAUCGGCCACACUGGAACUGAGACACGGUCCAGACGCCUACGGGAGGCAGCAGUAGGGAAUCUUCCGCAAUGGGCGAAAGCCUGACGGAGCAACGCCGCGUGAGUGAUGAAGGUCUUCGGAUCGUAAAACUCUGUUAUUAGGGAAGAACAAACGUGUAAGUAACUGUGCACGUCUUGACGGUACCUAAUCAGAAAGCCACGGCUAACUACGUGC
RNAcentral lists this ribosomal RNA (498 nucleotides) under uncultured bacterium. RNAcentral's name for it is "partial 16S ribosomal RNA". It matches the Rfam family "Bacterial small subunit ribosomal RNA", at positions 28 to 508 of the family's 1533-position model. The record is from RNAcentral.